UUGCUUGGGAAUGCAGCCCAAAGCRGGUGGUACACUCCAUCUAAGGCUAAAUACGGGCACGAGACCGAUAGUCAACAAGUACCGUAAGGGAAAGUUGAAAAGAACUUUUAAGAGAGAAAACAC
Nothoprocta perdicaria is the source of this 123-nucleotide long non-coding RNA. RefSeq lists it as uncharacterized. NCBI's taxonomy places the organism in Eukaryota, Metazoa, Chordata, Aves, Tinamiformes, Tinamidae. The record is from RefSeq and is a predicted model, not a curated record. The transcript is spliced from 3 exons.